This 492-nucleotide ribosomal RNA is filed under the name uncultured bacterium. Its description in RNAcentral is "partial 16S ribosomal RNA". It matches the Rfam family "Bacterial small subunit ribosomal RNA", at positions 29 to 507 of the family's 1533-position model. The record is from RNAcentral.
AGUGAACGCUGGCGGUAGGCCUAACACAUGCAAGUCGAACGGCAGCACAGUAAGAGCUUGCUCUUACGGGUGGCGAGUGGCGGACGGGUGAGGAAUACAUCGGAAUCUACUUUUUCGUGGGGGAUAACGUAGGGAAACUUACGCUAAUACCGCAUACGACCUACGGGUGAAAGCAGGGGAUCUUCGGACCUUGCGCGAUUGAAUGAGCCGAUGUCGGCUUAGCUAGUUGGCGGGGUAAAGGCCCACCAAGGCGACGAUCCGUAGCUGGACAUGGUGGAUGGUCAGCCACACUGGAACUGAGCCACGGUCCAGACUCCUACGGGAGGCAGCAGUGGGGAAUAUUGGACAAUGGGCGCAAGCCUGAUCCAGCCAUACCGCGUGGGUGAAGAAAGCCUUCGGGUUGUAAAGCCCUUUUGUUGGGAAAGAAAAGCAGCAGGUUAAUACCCCGCUGUUCUGACGGUACCCAAAGAAUAAGCACCGGCUAACUUCGUG